UGGGGAAUAUUGGACAAUGGGCGAAAGCCUGAUCCAGCCAUGCCGCGUGUGUGAAGAAGGUCUUCGGAUUGUAAAUCACUUUAAGUUGGGAGGAAGGGCAUUAACCUAAUACGUUAGUGUUUUGACGUUACCGACAGAAUAAGCACCGGCUAACUCUGUGCCAGCAGCCGCGGUAAUACAGAGGGUGCAAGCGUUAAUCGGAAUUACUGGGCGUAAAGCGCGCGUAGGUGGUUUGUUAAGUUGGAUGUGAAAUCCCCGGGCUCAACCUGGGAACUGCAUUCAAAACUGACUGACUAGAGUAUGGUAGAGGGUGGUGGAAUUUCCUGUGUAGCGGUGAAAUGCGUAGAUAUAGGAAGGAACACCAGUGGCGAAGGCGACCACCUGGACUAAUACUGACACUGAGGUGCGAAAGCGUGGGGAGCAAACA
Molecule: ribosomal RNA, 427 nt
Filed under: uncultured bacterium
Lineage: Bacteria
Description: partial 16S ribosomal RNA
Rfam family: Bacterial small subunit ribosomal RNA
Source: RNAcentral